This is a long non-coding RNA of Haliotis rubra (blacklip abalone), 303 nucleotides long. RefSeq lists it as uncharacterized. Lineage: Eukaryota; Metazoa; Mollusca; Gastropoda; Lepetellida; Haliotidae. The record is from RefSeq and is a predicted model, not a curated record. The transcript has 3 exons.
GUUGUAUGUUUCCAGGUCCAUACUUUCUACCCUGCCCCACUCUGUGGUUCAAAACGCCGAAGUCGAUCUCAAACUGAACUCUGGAUUUGCCAAAGGUUUCUUCACUGGUGGGGCUACGUUCUUGUGUGUUGCUGGAAUAACAUACCAUCUCUUGAAAGCAUUUGGAGGGUCAUCUGUCAGACGGAGAUAUUUCCGUGGGAAAUCAAAAUCCAAGGACACACGCCCGGGAGAUGUCAAACAUGAAGCUCAGGAACCCAAGCUGAGCACUCAGAGCCUCGUCCUGACGCCCAAGAUCUGCACCCC